CNCUGGGCGUAAAGGACGCGUAGGCGGAUUAUCAAGUNUCUUGUGAAAUCCUAUGGCUUANCCAUAGAACUGCUUGGGAAACUGAUAAUCUAGAGUGAGGGAGAGGCAGAUGGAAUUGGUGGUGUAGGGGUAAAAUCCGUAGAGAUCNCCAGGAAUACCCAUUGCGAAGGCGNUCUGCUGGAACUCAACUGACGCUAAUGCGUGAAAGCGUGGGGAGCAANCAGGAUUAGAUACCCUGGUAGUCCACGCCCUAAACGAUGUAUACUAGUUGUUGCUAAGCUAGUCUUGGCAGUAAUGCACCUAACGGAUUAAGUAUACCGCCUGGGGAGUACGGUCGCAAGAUUAAAACUCAAAGGAAUAGACGGGGACCCGCACAAGCGGUGGAGCAUGUGGUUUAAUUCGAAGAUACGCGAAGAACCUUACCCGGACUUGAUAUCUAACAAAUCAUCUAGAGAUAGAAGAGUGUCUGCUUGCAGAAAUGUUAAGACAGGUGCUGCACGGCUGUCGUCAGCUCGUGUCGUGAGAUGUUGGGUUAAGUCCCGCAACGAGCGCAACCCACGUCAUUAGUUGCUAACAGUUCGGCUGAGCACUCUAAUGAGACUGCCUUCGUAAGGAGGAGGAAGGUGUGGACGACGUCAAGUCAUCAUGGCCCUUAUGUCCGGGGCGACACACGUGCUACAAUGGCAUAUACAAUGAGAAGCAAUAUCGCGAGAUGGAGCAAAUCUAUAAAAUAUGUCCCAGUUCGGAUUGGAGUCUGCAACUCGACUCCAUGAAGCCGGAAUCGCUAGUAAUCGUAGAUCAGCCAUGCUACGGUGAAUACGUUCCCGGGUCUUGUACUCACCGCCCGUCACACCAUGGGAGUUGAU
Molecule: ribosomal RNA, 866 nt
Filed under: uncultured bacterium
Lineage: Bacteria
Description: bacterial SSU rRNA
Rfam family: Bacterial small subunit ribosomal RNA
Source: RNAcentral